GUCUCUGUAGCUCGGUUGGUUAGAGCGCUGCACCGGGCCGUAGGUUCAAUUCCUACCAGAGGACC
Non-coding RNA from Paramuricea clavata, 65 nucleotides. The record is from the annotation of a GenBank genome assembly. Lineage: Eukaryota; Metazoa; Cnidaria; Anthozoa; Malacalcyonacea; Plexauridae.